UGGACUUUCGCUGUUCGCUCCUCUCUCCUGGCAUGUCAAGCUCUGUCAGCACCAUGAGAUUCAUUAGUCGACGGGUGCUAGCUUCUCCGUGCACUACGCAUACAGGACUGCACCCUGCUGGAGAACUUGAGCCUUACACGUGAAAGGUUCUUAUUACCUGACCAGAAAGUUGAGGGCAAUGGAGCCGUGCCUCUUGGAAAAGUCAUGAUCAAGAACUCUGCGGUCCAUCUGUAGCCACUUACGCUGACCACUGGAAAAAGCAAGAAAGUGAUAGGACGCUCGAGAUGAUGUCAUUGGAGAAAAUGUGGAUCCAUGAUGCAAUAAUUGGGGGCGGAGUCAUGGUUUCCAUGAGGUCACCAUGCUGUCUAACUUCUUCCUACCCUGAAAAGUACGUCCUCAGAGACAGAAGACAGCUGUAUCUUCAUUGUAUCUGGAUGCAGUAUAAUAACUGUAAUGGUCCAAUCUGCUCCCGUUAGCAAAACUGUCACAAUGAAGCGUGCCGAUUUUACCCUGCGGCCAAAUGAGUCAGUAUUUCAAACAAGCCUAAUAAAAACUGAUGUCAUAUCCAC
Syngnathus acus (greater pipefish) is the source of this 569-nucleotide long non-coding RNA. RefSeq lists it as uncharacterized. The record is from RefSeq and is a predicted model, not a curated record. Lineage: Eukaryota; Metazoa; Chordata; Actinopteri; Syngnathiformes; Syngnathidae. The transcript is spliced from 3 exons.